Molecule: ribosomal RNA, 497 nt
Filed under: uncultured bacterium
Lineage: Bacteria
Description: partial 16S ribosomal RNA
Rfam family: Bacterial small subunit ribosomal RNA
Source: RNAcentral
GAUGAACGCUGGCGGCGUGCCUAAUACAUGCAAGUCGAGCGAACGGACGAGAAGCUUGCUUCUCUGAUGUUAGCGGCGGACGGGUGAGUAACACGUGGAUAACCUACCUAUAAGACUGGGAUAACUUCGGGAAACCGUAGCUAAUACCGGAUAAUAUUUUGAACCGCAUGGUUCAAAAGUGAAAGACGGUCUUGCUGUCACUUAUAGAUGGAUCCGCGCUGCAUUAGCUAGUUGGUAAGGUAACGGCUUACCAAGGCAACGAUGCAUAGCAGACCUGAUAGGGUGAUCGGCCACACUGGAACUGAGACACGGUCCAGACUCCUACGGGAGGCAGCAGUAGGGAAUCUUCCGCAAUGGGCGAAAGCCUGACGGAGCAACGCCGCGUGAGUGAUGAAGGUCUUCGGAUCGUAAAACUCUGUUAUUAGGGAAGAACAUAUGUGUAAGUAACUGUGCACAUCUUGACGGUACCUAAUCAGAAAGCCACGGCUAACUACGUG